ACCACGUUGGGGGCGCAGCGUACGGCUCCGUAACACGUAGUUAAUCUGCCCUUGGGACGGGGAUAACCCUGGGAAACUGGGGCUAAUACCCGAUAGGCGCAGUGGCCUGGAACGGUACUGCACCGAAAGGGCUCCAAGAACAUGCUCUUGGCGCCGUCCAAGGAUGAGACUGCGGCCGAUCAGUUGUUGGUGGGGUAACGGCCUACCAAGCCUAUAACCGGUACGGGCCCUGAAAGGGGGAGCCCGGAAUGGGAACUGAACAAGGUCCCAGUCCUACGGGGCGCACAGCGCGAAAACUCCACAAUGCGCGAAUGCGUGAUGGGGUUAACCCGAGUGCCGUCCGAUGAGGAUGGCUUUUCCCCAGUGUAAGGAGCUGGGGGAAUAAAGGGGGGGCAAGACUGGUGUCAGCCGCCGCGGUAAUACCAGCCCCCUGAGUAGUAGGACGAUUAUUUGGCCUAAAGCGUCCGUAGCCGGCUUGGUAAGUCUUUCGUCAAAUCCGGCGAUUCCAUCGCCGGCCCGCGGAAGAUACUGCUAGGCUUGAGGACGGGAGAGGUCGACGGUAGUCCCGGGGUAGGGUGAAAUCCUAUAAUCCCGGGAGGACCACCAGUGGCGAAGGCGGUCGACUAGAACGUGCCUGACGGUGAUGGACGAAAGCUGGGGGAGCGAACCGGAUUAGACACCCGGGUAGUCCCAGCUGUAAACGAUGCGAGCUAGUGUUGGAGCAACUACGGGUUGCUCCAGUGCCGCAGAGAAGUUGUUAAGCUCGCCGCCUGGGAAGUACGGCCGCAAGGCUGAAACUUAAAGGAAUUGGCGGGGGAGCACCACAAGGGGUGAAGCCUGCGGUUCAAUUGGAGUCAACGCCGGGAAACUUACCGGGGCUGACAGCAGGGUGAAGGCCAGAUUAAGGGUCUUGCCAGACAAGCUGAGAGGAGGUGCAUGGCCGUCGCCAGUUCGUGCCGUGAGGUGUCCUGUUAAGUCAGGCAACGAACGAGACCCUCACCUCUAGUUGCCAGCGGAUUCCAUCGGAAUGCCGGGCACACUAGAGGGACUGCCGCCGAUAAGGCGGAGGAAGGAGAGGGUACGGCAGGUCAGUAUGCCCCGAAUGCCCCGGGCCACACGCGGGCUGCAAUGAUAGGGACAGAGGGCUCCGACCCCGAAAGGGGAAGGCAAUCCCUAAACCCUA
Molecule: ribosomal RNA, 1183 nt
Filed under: uncultured archaeon
Lineage: Archaea
Description: bacterial SSU rRNA
Rfam family: Archaeal small subunit ribosomal RNA
Source: RNAcentral